Molecule: ribosomal RNA, 253 nt
Filed under: uncultured bacterium
Lineage: Bacteria
Description: partial 16S ribosomal RNA
Rfam family: Bacterial small subunit ribosomal RNA
Source: RNAcentral
UACGGAGGGGGCUAGCGUUGUUCGGAAUUACUGGGCGUAAAGCGCACGUAGGCGGAUUUGUAAGUCAGGGGUGAAAUCCCGGGGCUCAACCUCGGAACUGCCUUUGAUACUGCAAAUCUCGAGUCCGGAAGAGGUAAGUGGAAUUGCGAGUGUAGAGGUGAAAUUCGUAGAUAUUCGCAAGAACACCAGUGGCGAAGGCGGCUCACUGGCCCGAUACUGACGCUGAGGCACGAAAGCGUGGGGAGCAAACAGG